GAAAUGCGAUAAGUAAUGUGAAUUGCAGAAUUCAGUGAAUCAUCGAAUCUUUGAACGCAACUUGCGCUCCUUGGUAUUCCUUGGAGUAUGCCUGUUUGAGUAUCAUGAAAUCUUCAAAGUAAAUCUUUUGUUAACUCAAUUGGUUUCUACUUUGGUAUUGGAGGUCUUUGCAGCUUCACACCUGCUCCUCUUUGUUCAUUAGCUGGAUCUCAGUGUUAUGCUUGGUUCCACUCGGCGUGAUAAGUUAUCUAUCGCUGAGGACACUGUAAAAGGUGGCCAAGGUAAAUGCAGAUGAACCGCUUCUAAUAGUCCAUUGACUUGGACAAUACUUUUAUGAUCUGAUCUCAAAUCAGGUAGGACUACCCGCUGAACUCAAGC
RNAcentral lists this unclassified non-coding RNA (378 nucleotides) under plant metagenome. RNAcentral describes it as "partial contains 5.8S ribosomal RNA, internal transcribed spacer 2, and large subunit ribosomal RNA". The stretch from base 1 to 105 matches the Rfam family "5.8S ribosomal RNA", at positions 50 to 154 of the family's 154-position model. The record is from RNAcentral.